AAAAAAAAUUAUAUUUUUAUUUUCUUUGUUACAAACGACUUUAAUUGAAAUUCGAAAUCAAUAUUUCACAGAUUUGGAGAUGACGCAAAUAUCACUGAGUUAAAAUUUUAGAGGUUUUACAGGGUAUUUCAUAAUUUCUUUAUCUUCCUAAGCAAGGUAGAAUAGGUAAAACGACUAAAUCCUAUACCAAAGAAUUGUAGUAGAUAAGCUAAGAUUGCUUAUAAUAAUUAUAAUCUCAAUUUAAAUCUUGUGUUUAUGUGCCCAAGUCAAUGAAAAUGACAUUGCUUUUUCUUAACAAUCACCAUGCAUUUCUUUAAUCCAAAGAGAUAAGUUCUUGAUUGAUCCACUUGAUCUCUUUCUUUAAUCUAAAAAUUGGCAUUUUCCUAUGAAAGAUCCAAGAAAUUGCCAAAUGGAAUCUUGUUCAAUGUGCAUGUGCAUGUCCAGCUUCAAAUAUUAAUAUGUAUAGCAUUAAAUUCAGUGAAAAUUGAGGAAAUAGAUUCAGUUGAAUUCAAUUAACAUGAAAUUAAAAAUUUAAUUGAUAUGAGUUGUGUUUCUUGAAUAAGUUAAAAUGGUUGGUAACUAAUAUGUUUCUUGAAAAUUUUGUUUAAUUAUCCAGGUUCUUGAAUGCUG
This 630-nucleotide unclassified non-coding RNA is filed under the name Hevea brasiliensis (rubber tree). Lineage: Eukaryota; Viridiplantae; Streptophyta; Magnoliopsida; Malpighiales; Euphorbiaceae. The record is from RNAcentral.